AGAAGACCUACUACAGUCCUGACCCCCAUCCUGUUGGGCACUCUCCUAGUCCCCACCAUUCUCAUAAGAAACCUGUAUGCACUCCUCCAACCUCCCAUGGCAACCACUAUGGGAGCAGUGGUACACCUACGCCACCGUACGGGAGCAACGGAAGCUACGGGACACCAUCGACACCCUCAUACACUACUCCAUCGGCACCCUCACAAGGGAGUGGAGGAUAUUAUGGUACCCCGGCCGUUGUUCCUCCUCCUGCCAGUACCACUCCGGUGGUCGAGCCUCCGGUGAUAUCGACACCUAUCACUCCGGUGAUAUCGGCUCCGGUAAUUCCUGUUGACCCAUCA
Molecule: unclassified non-coding RNA, 341 nt
Filed under: Hevea brasiliensis (rubber tree)
Lineage: Eukaryota; Viridiplantae; Streptophyta; Magnoliopsida; Malpighiales; Euphorbiaceae
Source: RNAcentral